Molecule: long non-coding RNA, 1349 nt
Organism: Cynoglossus semilaevis (tongue sole)
Lineage: Eukaryota; Metazoa; Chordata; Actinopteri; Pleuronectiformes; Cynoglossidae
Exons: 3
Source: RefSeq, a predicted model, not a curated record
AGUUAAACCAUAUCUGUAGAACGAACGGAGCAGCCGCCAUAAAAUCACCUAAUGAACUGUCACACAACUAGUGGUGAAGCAGUGCCUCUACUGUAUAUGUCCUUUGGGCCAGGGGUUCCCAACCUCCGGGUUGGGGACGGUAUUAGUCCGUAGAUCAUUUGGUACCGGGCUGCAGGGGGACUGAGUGAAAAAAUGUACUUCAGUUGUACUAAUUUACUUCAUUCAAAAAUGUUCCAGUCAUAUCCUUUAUAAGAAUUAAGUGCAAAUGUAAGAGUUCCCACUGUUUGAUUAUAUUUUAUUUUAUUUUGAAAGGUUGAAAAACCUAAUUCUAUUUAGAGUAACUUGGCAGAGAUAUAAAGAUAAAUCCAGUCUGAUGACGCCCUGACAAUCGGAUGCUUUUCCAAAACAUUUACAGUCUUAGAACUUGUUUACAGUACGAGCUUGGAUCCGGUGUAUGGAAUAAGGCUUUGAAACAACUCUCUUCACGUUUAAUCUGCAUCAACGUUCCCCCACCGACACGACUUGAUUAGAUUUAGUGACCAUAACAUCAUGUCAAAACAACUGCCUCUCUUUUAUUUCUGUCAGGAAUGGUAUCACUUGGAUUUGCUACGGCCGUACAAAGGGAAAAUUGGAAGAACAUGAGCGGGCCUUUGAGCCGCACACGGCAUGCUAACAGGCUCCAUCCCUCCACGCUGCCGUCGUCCUCCACAGUUGGUAGACAUUAGCAGAAGCAGCGAUGGCUGUGGUGAUAACCACAACGACUGACUGCUGCUGAGCCUCAGAUUUAACUGUCACCACAGGACCACCAGGAAACUCAUGGCCUUAGGGAGAACCCCACAGGGGAGAGAUCAUUCAAACUCCAUGCAGAGAGACCAGGGAUCAAAGCAGCGACCUUCUUGCUGUAAGGCAGGUCUGUUUCACCAAAACUAUUUUUCCGCAACACAUCUUAUGACAUGGGUGUCAAAUACCCCUGUAACAUACAGUUUGACUGUUGUCCUAAUACACCUCUACAACAGUCAAAAACAAACAGAUAUUCUUUGAAAAGAGAUGACGAGUGUCAACUUCCACAUCUCCGAAAAAGGAAAAACCCUAUUAGUCCAAAAUUAGCUCAAAGUUGCUCACAGGUAGAUAGCACAAACCAGCAUGAAAUUGCAAUGAAAAUGAUUUCAAUUAUAGCCACGGCUAAACACUGCCAUUACUGUAAUCAAACUGAGUCCAUUUUCAGUAAUUGCAUUGGAACAGUCAAGCAGAGAGGUCAUUUGCUUUUAUGUUGCACCUGCCUUUCAAAUAAAUAAAGUUUUCCCUGAAGUCAUUUUCAGGACAUAAUGACGGGGCGAGCGGACAUUCAA